CACAUGCAGUCGAACGGCAGCACGGGAGCAAUCCUGGUGGCGAGUGGCGAACGGGUGAGUAAUAUAUCGGAACGUGCCCAAUCGUGGGGGAUAACGCAGCGAAAGCUGUGCUAAUACCGCAUACGAUCUAAGGAUGAAAGCGGGGGAUCGCAAGACCUCGCGCGAAUGGAGCGGCCGAUAUCAGAUUAGCUAGUUGGUGGGGUAAAAGCUCACCAAGGCGACGAUCUGUAGCUGGUCUGAGAGGACGACCAGCCACACUGGAACUGAGACACGGUCCAGACUCCUACGGGAGGCAGCAGUGGGGAAUUUUGGACAAUGGGCGCAAGCCUGAUCCAGCAAUGCCGCGUGCAGGAUGAAGGCCUUCGGGUUGUAAACUGCUUUUGUACGGAGCGAAAAGGUUCUUUCUAAUAAAGAGGGCUCAUGACGGUACCGUAAGAAUAAGCACCGGCUAACUACGUGCCAGCAGCCGCGGUAAUACGUAGGGUGCGAGCGUUAAUCGGAAUUACUGGGCGUAAAGCGUGCGCAGGCGGUUAUAUAAGACAGAUGUGAAAUCCCCGGGCUCAACCUGGGCACUGCAUUUGUGACUGUAUAGCUAGAGUACGGCAGAGGGGGAUGGAAUUCCGCGUGUAGCAGUGAAAUGCGUAGAUAUGCGGAGGAACACCGAUGGCGAAGGCAAUCCCCUGGGCCUGUACUGACGCUCAUGCACGAAAGCGUGGGGAGCAAACAGGAUUAGAUACCCUGGUAGUCCACGCCCUAAACGAUGUCAACUGGUUGUUGGGUCUUUGCUGACUCAGUAACGAAGCUAACGCGUGAAGUGACC
This 820-nucleotide ribosomal RNA is filed under the name uncultured bacterium. Its description in RNAcentral is "SSU rRNA". It matches the Rfam family "Bacterial small subunit ribosomal RNA", at positions 52 to 870 of the family's 1533-position model. The record is from RNAcentral.